GUGUUCCCUAGAUUCAACAGCUUGUUGGCACAUGACACAAGUGUCUGUUAUAUCCAGGUUCCAUUUGAUCAACCUUGCUUUGGUGGGCAGUCUAUCUUGCAGGAGCAGCCAUAGGUUGAAGAUUGCUUUAGGUCGAACAGCAUUCUGUAUUGUUAAGUUCUUCCAUCUGACUCUUGGUGCCUCUCCUAUCUGCUGUAAGUAGAGCUUUCUUAUAGUGCAAUCAGAUUUAUCCAGCAUUUGAUGUUGCUGCAGCAGUACAAUGCCUUCAAUGAUCUUCCUUACCAUCCAACUAGCCUGUUUAGGAACAAUGAUGGUCUCCAAUUGUUUCUGUUUGAUAUACACUGUAUGAAUCCAUUUCACCCAUAGAGCAUCCUUCUUAUGUGCCAGAUCCCAGCUGAGUUUAGCAAUAGCAGCCNNN
This 418-nucleotide long non-coding RNA is filed under the name Nicotiana benthamiana. Its description in RNAcentral is "long non-coding RNA (NBEN_LNC019832)". Lineage: Eukaryota; Viridiplantae; Streptophyta; Magnoliopsida; Solanales; Solanaceae. The record is from RNAcentral.